GAGGGAUCCUCCUCCCAUCAUCACUGGUGAGUCCUUGUGGUGUGCACUGGGUGAAUGGUGGAGGUGAUCUAAAGGCCGGGGGGCCUGGUGGCCCCCCGGUUAGCUAGGGUUCAUAUACAAUGCUUACUCUGAUUUCACAGUAUCAUUUCACUCAUGGGUGCUGGCUGAGUAUCCUUACUUAGGCUGAGCUCCUCUACGUUUAGCUGCUUCUGCUCACUUGUAAAACUAAAAAUUACAGGACUGAAAUGUGUGAAACAUCAUGAGAAGCAUUGACUGAGUGUGGAGGAAAUACCUGAGGAUCCCUAACAAGGAAAAUGGACUAAACCUCAAAUCCCAUUGGCGCUGUUUUAUGUUGGAGUGGCUGAAGUUCUGUCUUGCUUUGUUAACUAAGUUAAAGCUAGCUUUAUUCAGCACUGGGUGGAGUUUCACUGUGUUAAGCCAGGAGCAGAUCCUGGAUGUCUGCACACAAUCAGCCUGACAUCAUGCUGAGACUGCACCACAUCUGCCUCUACACCUGAAGGUCCUGCCUAGAAUUCCUGGACAUAUACACAGAUCAUCCAGAAAAUGCCAGGAGACAAGGUCAGAGAUUGUCUGCAUCCUUUCCCCAGAAGCCAGGAAGAUUCAAGUCUCAACAUCCGACAAGACAGAGUCCCCUGAAAGCAUUUGGGCACUCUCUGGGCUGUGGCUAGCACCCACAAGUGGGUAAUAAUAAUUUGUGAGUAAAUGUUUAAAUGCCUCUUUGUAAUUCUCCAUUGCCUUCUGCCAUAGAGCAGAAAGAGCUCCUUGAGCCCAUCCACUGGGCAAGCAGCAUACUGACUGCAAGCAGCAUUUGAAUCUUCUCUUCCAGUUCAAUUAUUGUUCAUAUAUUUUGCUGCUUUUUACUAGAUAUUAUCCAUAGAAUGUUGCCAUGACUGUGUAAGAACUGUAAUGUCAUUACAAUUAGUGGUUGGGGUGAUGAGAGUUCUGAACAACAAAAUUAAUAAACUAUAUUAAUGUUGGAAAA
Long non-coding RNA from Pogoniulus pusillus (Red-fronted tinkerbird), 1003 nucleotides. RefSeq lists it as uncharacterized. The transcript has 2 exons. The record is from RefSeq and is a predicted model, not a curated record. NCBI's taxonomy places the organism in Eukaryota, Metazoa, Chordata, Aves, Piciformes, Lybiidae.